This 257-nucleotide ribosomal RNA is filed under the name uncultured prokaryote. RNAcentral describes it as "partial 16S ribosomal RNA". It matches the Rfam family "Bacterial small subunit ribosomal RNA", at positions 524 to 780 of the family's 1533-position model. The record is from RNAcentral.
UACGGAGGAUGCAAGCGUUAUCCGGAUUUAUUGGGUUUAAAGGGUGCGCAGGUUGUUUGAUAAGUCAGUGGUGAAAGUCUGUCGCUUAACGGUAGGAUUGCCAUUGAUACUGUUAGACUUGAAUAUGGAUGAGGUAGGCGGAAUGUGUAGUGUAGCGGUGAAAUGCAUAGAUAUUACACAGAACACCGAUUGCGAAGGCAGCUUACUAAGCCAUAACUGACGCUCAGGCACGAAGGCGUGGGGAUCAAACAGGAUUA